RNAcentral lists this ribosomal RNA (446 nucleotides) under uncultured bacterium. RNAcentral's name for it is "partial 16S ribosomal RNA". It matches the Rfam family "Bacterial small subunit ribosomal RNA", at positions 338 to 795 of the family's 1533-position model. The record is from RNAcentral.
CCUACGGGUGGCUGCAGUCGAGAAUCAUUCACAAUGGGGGAAACCCUGAUGGUGCGACGCCGCGUGGGGGAAUGAAGGUCUUCGGAUUGUAAACCCCUGUCAUGUGGGAGCAAAUUAAAAAGAUAGUACCACAAGAGGAAGAGACGGCUAACUCUGUGCCAGCAGCCGCGGUAAUACAGAGGUCUCAAGCGUUGUUCGGAAUCACUGGGCGUAAGGCGUGCGUAGGCUGUUUCGUAAGUCGUGUGUGAAAGGCGCGGGCUCAACCGGCGGACGGCACAUGAUACUGCGAGACUAGAGUAAUGGAGGGGGAACCGGAAUUCUCGGUGUAGCAGUGAAAUGCGUAGAUAUCGGGAGGAACACUCGUGGCGAAGGCGGGUUCCUGGACAUUAACUGACGCUGAGGCACGAAGGCCAGGGGAGCGAAAGGGAUUAGAUACCCGAGUAGUC